Long non-coding RNA from Lynx canadensis (Canada lynx), 2779 nucleotides. RefSeq lists it as uncharacterized. The record is from RefSeq and is a predicted model, not a curated record. The transcript is spliced from 10 exons. Lineage: Eukaryota; Metazoa; Chordata; Mammalia; Carnivora; Felidae.
AACUAGGAUUUUCUAAUGAUGAAAUUUUUUUCUUGUGUAAUUGACAGUAGCAAGUUUAACAGAAGAAACGCUGAGGAAUGGUGAUUAGAGAUGCAUCCCAACCUAAUUUUUUCUUCCCCAAUCUAUAAUAAAAGGCAUGGAGCUCAAACCCCUGGGGAAAGCAAGAAAGCCAGGCAGCAGAGCCACCAUGAUGAACAAGAAGUUCUUCAUCUGGAGGACUGCGGCUCGGCUGGAGGGAGGUGUAUAUAAACAGCUAGUAGGUUUAACACAGAAGGCAACAGAAGCCCAGAGAGGUAAACUGACUUACCUAAGGCCACACAGCUACUUAAUAACACAUUUGAGAACAGACUCAGUCUCCUGACUUCCAACUCCACUACUUACUGGGUUCCCGGCCUAGAAUCAGAUGGCACCAAGAAAAAUCCUGGAGGAAAUGACGCACCUCGUGCACGUCCCCUUCGAGCCACAAGGAACUGAAUUCUGCCAACACCUUGAAUGAGCUCAGAUGAGAACCUCGAGUGCCAGAUGAGAGCUGCAGCCUGACCCUGACUGCAGCCUUGUGAGACCCUGAGCUGGGAUCCCGUGAAGCUGUGCUUUGGAUCCUGAUCCACGAAACUAGGGCAAUUAUGGCUGGAGAAGAAUGGGCAGAGGAAUGUAUCAGUCAUCUAUCUCACAAGAAUGCUCUUGACCUAAAACAGCUCUUCUUUUCUCAAGAAAGCAGCCACACUGAGUCUGGCUCUCACAAGUCCGUCUCGCAAAUUCUCAUGCACAACUUCUUGAAUUGAUAUAUAUUCCCAUCAGGUGCUUCAGAGAAGCUCUGACCUUUUUCUCGACAGGCAAAAAUGUGCAUUUUGGCACCAGAUUAUCGGAUGGAAAAAUACAGGCAUUUUCCAAGCCCUAAACACAGAGUGUGCCAUCUAUUAGUUUGGAUUUCUUCCUUAACUAUCAUCAUACUAAUAUGUGGUGGUUUUUCCAAGAAGAAAUGAAUCCAAAUCUAUUUUGGACUCAGAAUCCCGGAAGCCUGGGUUUUAUCACUGGCUGGUCACAGAUGCACUGAAAAUGGGCUUGUUUUCUCUGAAGACUUAAAGAAAUUUGGAGGCAUCAAUCUUCACAUUCCUCGUGGUGGAAGGCUUAAAGAGCAAGCCACAUCUGAGCUGGCCUUGAAAACUCUGCCUGGCUGAAGUUCCUGUUGUCACCUUUUUCAGGAAUUGCCUCCUUUCCUUAAGACAGUCUGACUAGGUUUGUAACUCAAAUGGCUUCCAUCAAAACAACACCCUGCACCAGGUGCUGGCCAUUCAGUGACCUGUGACUGAGCUGUGCCUUACCUACUGUCUUUCUGGACCUCUGUGCCAGCCUCUGCAGCCAGAUUAGUUCUUUCAGAGCUUGCACUGGGUCCCGGCUUCUCCUCAGCAACAGCAGUCCAGGGAUGACAGGUGCCAUGCUUUCUGCACAAGUCUUCAUCUGCGGUGAGUAGAACAGUAAUGCUUCAACCUCAUAUUUUAUCGGCAGAUAUGGCUACAAGGUAAAAAAAAAAACCUACUUGUUACAAAGAUGCUCUCUUGGGAUACUCAUCCUCUCUCCAUGGUGUUCUCCUUACUCCCAGCAAAGCUGGACAAUACUUCCCUUAGUCUGCUGUCUACCCAGUGAUGGGAAGGCAGCCUACAAUCAGAGGAGUCUUCUCCCUCUCCGUCUUCAGCUGAUGUUCACAAGGUACCUGUUCUGUAAUUUUGCCCCCAGUUACUUUGGACCUGGGUCUACCACCUCAUGACAAUACUGAGUUUUUUCUUUCCCUCUGGUAGGGAUUAUCUGUGAUCCCAGUGGGUAAUAGAAUUUGCAAUGAGGAAGACUCUGAUACCACCGUAGUCCUUCAUCUAUCUUGUUAUAUGACAUUCUGGCCAGCAAACAAUGAUGAGGGCUUUAUUCUAGGAGAUAUUAUAGUGUGUUCAACCAGAGAUAAGUAAGAUAAAGUCUGGGACAGAAAGAAAUUCAAAUGAGGAGUACAGCAACAUUUCAGUGGAUGACCUAUCCCAGGGUCAGCCUGGCAAUGAAAACAUAAGAGUCAGGGUAUUCAAAAUAUAAACAAUAUGGGAGUUCUUUAGUUGUGAUAUCUGUGUGUAUCUAUAUCUCUAUCUACAGAAAACUAAAAUAUUAAUCCAGAAAAAGUGUUGAUAAUGUGCAUUGUAUUAAGUGUUGUGUUGUCAACUAAUCUAGACCAAUUUGUUCAUUACAACUGUUGGGUUCUUUUGGCAAAUAACGGUGACCUCUAAUGACUAAAGGUAGAGAGAGGAAGGGUCAAGGUCUCAUUCCCAAUAAACUUGUUACAAAGUGGUACAUUACAAGAAAAGCAAAUCUCAAACCAAAUCCUGCAACACAAAUGUGAACAUUUAUUAGCAAACAGACACGAAGAGUCAUGCAAUAUGCUCUUAUUGGCUCCCUCCCUUGGUCACUCUGCCAGUCCCCUUUCAUGACAGUUUCACUAGUGAUAGAUACAGCAGUAUUCUCUAGGGAGGAUCAGCUAGCCAUCCAGUCAGAAUCAGACAAUAAGUCCUUUAGUAAGAGAUGGGACACAGGACCGAAUGGGACUUCUAGGCUGGUGCAUCAUACCAAGAGAUAUUAGGCUGCUGCACAAGAGAGGUUCAUGCACAAGUGAGGGUGUCUGUACCAUGCGAGUCAGUUUACAUAUACUGAACACUAUUCCAAUUGCCUUUGAAAAACUAUUUCUAACUCCAAUUAUGCUAAUGAAUAAACCCUUGACUACAGACAGAGAUAGACAUCGUUGAAG